This 863-nucleotide unclassified non-coding RNA is filed under the name Hevea brasiliensis (rubber tree). The record is from RNAcentral. Lineage: Eukaryota; Viridiplantae; Streptophyta; Magnoliopsida; Malpighiales; Euphorbiaceae.
ACAACUCUUCCUGGAGACUUAAUUAUUGUGUUGGAGGGGAGGUAACCACCAUGUAUCAUUUGGACCGCCCAAUGUACUUGUUGGGUUAUCUUGCUAAUCAGAGUCGGGUUUAUCUAAUUGACAAGGAAUUCAAUGUUAUGGGAUACACUCUACUUCUUAGCUUAAUCGAGUACAAGACUCUAGUGAUGCGUGGGGACCUGGAAAGAGCCAAUGAAAUUUUACCUUCUAUUCCUAAAGAGCAUCAUAACAGUGUGGCUCGUUUCUUGGAAUCACGGGGUAUGAUAGAGAAUGCUUUGGAGGUAGCUACAGAUCCCGAUUACAAAUUUGAGCUAGCUAUACAGCUUGGCAGAUUGGAGAUUGCAAAGGAAAUUGCCACUGAAGUUCAGACUGAGUCAAAGUGGAAGCAGCUGGGAGAAUUAGCUAUGUCUACCGGAAAGUUAGAAAUGGCUGAGGACUGUAUGAAGCAUGCAACAGACUUGAGUGGUUUGUUGCUUUUAUAUUCUUCUUUAGGAGAUGCUGAAGGGAUUUCAAAACUUGCAUCUCUCGCAAAAGAGCAAGGGAAGAACAAUGUUGCAUUCCUUUGUUUAUUUAUGUUGGGCAAAGUGGAAGAUUGCCUCCAGCUUUUGGUGGAAAGCAAUCGGAUACCCGAGGCUGCUUUGAUGGCACGAUCCUAUCUUCCAAGCAAGGUUUCAGAGAUUGUAGCUAUUUGGAGAAAAGAUCUCAACAAGGUUAACCCAAAAGCUGCUGAAUCUUUGGCUGAUCCUGAUGAGUAUCCAAAUAUGUUUGAUGAUUGGCAAGUGGCUCUAUCUGUUGAAUCUAAAGUUACAGAGACAAGGGGUGUAUAUCCUCCUGCAGAGGAGUAC